This 65-nucleotide transfer RNA is filed under the name Gastrostomobdella monticola. RNAcentral's name for it is "tRNA-Val". Lineage: Eukaryota; Metazoa; Annelida; Clitellata; Hirudinida; Gastrostomobdellidae. The record is from RNAcentral.
CAGGUUAUAGCAUAUAGUUAAUGCUUUUUAUUUACACUAAAAAGAAAAUAUUUUAUUUAAUCUGU